Molecule: ribosomal RNA, 972 nt
Filed under: Triticum aestivum (bread wheat)
Lineage: Eukaryota; Viridiplantae; Streptophyta; Magnoliopsida; Poales; Poaceae
Description: partial small subunit ribosomal RNA
Source: RNAcentral
AUGGCAACAACAACUCAGAAAACAACUGAUGGAUACGGGAUUGGGUGCAGCACAGAGGGAAUUGGGGGUGAUAAAGUGUUCACAAAUUUUGCAGGUAUUAUUAUCAACAAGGUCGAGCAGUACUCCAACAAGUGCAAGACAGCUGUAAAUGAGGCAUCAAGGAAGGGAGCAAGAUUAAACAAGAGACACGCAGAAGGAUGGGAUGAGAUUGUCAAUGAUACUAACGGGUUAAUACUCUCAGAAACUAAGAAGAUAAUUGCAGACAUCAACCAGAUAACUGAUGCAAUGAGGGCACGAAAGCAGAGGCCCAAUUAUUCAACCCAAGCAGAUGUUCAAGGGGUUCAAGGGGAUGCAGAGAAUGCACUAAGCAUAGAGUCGGCAGAGGGAGCUUCCGCUAACGUGGAACCAUUGGCAAAGAGCAAAUUAGGUGUGAAAAGAAAGAAGGUUGUUACAUCAAGGAGGCACACACCGAAGAGGGCAAGGAUAGAGAGCUCUGAAGAAUCUGAAGGUGCUCAAGAAGAAGCAAACAAAGCAAUAGAUGAUCUGAUUGAAGCAGCAGAUGAAUACAGUAGGUUGCGCAGUGGGAUUGUUGGCAAUGCGACAGGGCUGUUGGACAAUACUACAGGGAACAACUUGGAGAUGUCAGUGGUGUGUGGGGCGGCAAGAAAUGAAGUUAUAUGCUCUCCAAAAAUAGCAACAGGAACUGAUGAAGCUGCAGAGAACCAAAAGGAUGGUGUUGACAAGAAUCAAUUGUCAAUAGUUUCUUCAGGACAGGAUGAUGACUUAGGUGGAUGUUUAUCAAUAGAUCCUCCAGAGAUGCAUGGGAAGUUCAAAGUUGUAAUGUCAGGUCUUAGGAAGACGGCCUUGAUGAAUGCUUUUACAGCCGUUUCAACGUCCAACGGCGUGUCGGUUGCUUCCGCAAACAUCACGCCUGGUUCUGCAGCAACCAAGAUGCAAACUCCUGAAGAUUGA